GUGUCAGCCGCCGCGGUAAUACGAGAGGCCCAAACGUUAUUCGGAUUUACUGGGCUUAAAGAGUCCGUAGGCGGCGCAGAUAGUGGGGUGUGAAAUCCCUCGGCUUAACCGAGGAAUUGCGCUCCAAACUCCUGUGCUAGAGGAAUCUAGAGGUGAGCGGAACUGAUGGUGGAGCGGUGAAAUGCGUUGAUAUCAUCAGGAACACCGGAGGCGAAGGCGGCUCACUGGGGAUUUUCUGACGCUGAGGGACGAAAGCCAGGGGAGCGAACGGGAUUAGAUACCCCUGUAGUCC
This 292-nucleotide ribosomal RNA is filed under the name uncultured bacterium. RNAcentral describes it as "partial 16S ribosomal RNA". It matches the Rfam family "Bacterial small subunit ribosomal RNA", at positions 505 to 796 of the family's 1533-position model. The record is from RNAcentral.